CAUAAUUAAUUAAAUUUUAUCUUGAUGCAUUUGAAUAAUAUAAGUGUCACAGCCCAAUUUUCGAGCCAUGACCUGCACAAGGGACCAAUGGGCUCAGCCCACCAAGCCCAAGCAAGCCUAAUUACAUGAUCUUAUACGUUAAUCCAUAUUCUUUUAGAAUCAGAGAUUCAUAAUGCUCAAUUACAAUUUCUUUGAAAAUAACUCAUAAAAUCCAGUCAUGUAUUCAUAAUGGCAUCAUCAACCAUUAUAUACAUACAUCUAAUUUGACAAGUGAAUCUCAGCAUUUCACAACAAGUAGUCAUAUACACGUAAUUAAAACUUGACCGUCAGCGGAGUGACUCUGGACAUGGUUGCUAACAUUUAAUGUCAUGGUAAACCUACCGAGCAAUGGAUAGUGAGGAGCACCUCGUCCUAAGAUCCAAUCACCUUUGACUAUGAAAAACAUAAAACAUGAAUUUUAAAAACGUAAGUACAAACUCAGUGAGUGAACAUAGAAAGGGAACAAGCAACGUUAAGGAAUGUUUCUUUUUUUAAAAAAAAUCAUGAUGCAUUUAAGUUCAAAACAAUACAGUUUAGCUUAACCCUUAUUAAAAACCCCUCAUUUCAAAUCUUGAUCUUUUGGUCACUUAAUAAUGAAAGACUCAUGAACAACAAAGUAGUUGAGAAGUGAAAACUUUAGUAAACUUCAAGUAAGUCAAACAUAAUAGAUUGACUCUCACCGCAGCAAAAAGGUAUUUUUUCUGCAUCGAGAUUCAAGCCAUAUAAAAUCCAAGGGGUAUUCACUGCCAUUGGGAAAAUCCACUCACGCCACGUUGCAAAUUAAAUUGAACACAUUGACAAUACUCAAGUUACCAACAGUCAAUGCAAUCACAUUUUAAAUCCAAACAUAUCUAUAUAGUAAUCAUGUAUGUAUAUAUAAGCACAUACACCUCAAUCACAUCACCCAGCUCAUAUGCAUCAUUACCGGCAUGUGCACUGCCCACUUCGCACAUGCACGGUAGUAAUUAUCGCAACAUCAUCAUUCAACCGGCAUGUGCACUACCCACUCUGCACAU
This 1055-nucleotide long non-coding RNA is filed under the name Theobroma cacao (cacao). Its description in RNAcentral is "long non-coding RNA (TCAC_LNC004363)". Lineage: Eukaryota; Viridiplantae; Streptophyta; Magnoliopsida; Malvales; Malvaceae. The record is from RNAcentral.